RNAcentral lists this ribosomal RNA (557 nucleotides) under uncultured bacterium. RNAcentral's name for it is "bacterial SSU rRNA". It matches the Rfam family "Bacterial small subunit ribosomal RNA", at positions 102 to 694 of the family's 1533-position model. The record is from RNAcentral.
ACGGGUGCGUAACGCGUGGGAAUCUGCCCCUUGGUUCGGAAUAACAGUUGGAAACGACUGCUAAUACCGGAUGAUGACGUAAGUCCAAAGAUUUAUCGCCGAGGGAUGAGCCCGCGUAGGAUUAGGUAGUUGGUGUGGUAAAGGCGCACCAAGCCGACGAUCCUUAGCUGGUCUGAGAGGAUGAUCAGCCACACUGGGACUGAGACACGGCCCAGACUCCUACGGGAGGCAGCAGUGGGGAAUAUUGGACAAUGGGCGAAAGCCUGAUCCAGCAAUGCCGCGUGAGUGAUGAAGGCCUUAGGGUUGUAAAGCUCUUUUACCCGGGAUGAUAAUGACAGUACCGGGAGGAUAAGCUCCGGCUAACUCCGUGCCAGCAGCCGCGGUAAUACGGAGGGAGCUAGCGUUAUUCGGAAUUACUGGGCGUAAAGCGCACGUAGGCGGCUUUGUAAGUAAGAGGUGAAAGCCCAGAGCUCAACUCUGGAAUUGCCUUUUAGACUGCAUCGCUUGAAUCAUGGAGAGGUCAGUGGAAUUCCGAGUGUAGAGGUGAAAUUCGUAGA